UACGUAGGGGGCUAGCGUUAUCCGGAAUUACUGGGCGUAAAGGGUGCGUAGGUGGUUUCUUAAGUCAGAGGUGAAAGGCUACGGCUCAACCGUAGUAAGCCUUUGAAACUGGGGAACUUGAGUGCAGGAGAAGAGAGUGGAAUUCCUAGUGUAGCGGUGAAAUGCGUAGAUAUUAGGAGGAACACCAGUUGCGAAGGCGGCUCUCUGGACUGUAACUGACACUGAGGCACGAAAGCGUGGGGAGCAAACAGG
This 252-nucleotide ribosomal RNA is filed under the name uncultured bacterium. RNAcentral's name for it is "partial 16S ribosomal RNA". It matches the Rfam family "Bacterial small subunit ribosomal RNA", at positions 524 to 776 of the family's 1533-position model. The record is from RNAcentral.